This is a long non-coding RNA of Fopius arisanus, 274 nucleotides long. RefSeq lists it as uncharacterized. The transcript is spliced from 2 exons. The record is from RefSeq and is a predicted model, not a curated record. Lineage: Eukaryota; Metazoa; Arthropoda; Insecta; Hymenoptera; Braconidae.
CUUCGAUCCACACGAUUGCUUAUGGAGUGAUCACUGCAAUUAAAAUAACAAACAAAAAUGGAGAGAAAUUUCCACAUCAGAUCCAGCCAUUCUCAUGAAAUACUGAUGCGAAUUGGGGACACGGAAAAAUCACUGAGUAAACCUCAUUUACUGCAACUACAACUUGACAGAUGAGAAAUAAAGGGGAAUUUCCAGUCGUGCCUGUUACUUUUACAAAUAAAAUGCUAUUCUCCCAGCGAUAUCCUAACAUGAAGAAUAGAUUUUUUAAAAAUUA